AGCUGUUCUUCCCCUCUGCUGACUUUAUGUGGAGUAAAGGGCUACUCCAGCUGAGGAAAAAUGCCAAUAAAGGAGAUGAAAACAGCCAGAAAUUGUAUAUACUUAUCAUGUACAACAUGAUGCCCUGAAAUAUGUCUACACUACGGGAUGGCCAAAUUGAGGCAAUUAACAUAUGCAAGACCUCACAAACUUCAAAUUUUUUGUGGUGAGAACACUUAAAAUCCACAAAAAUUAGUAAUGUUCAGAAAUACGCCCAGACAGACGUCAACAUGGCUGCAGCUGAGAUGCAGGGCCACAACAAGAUACCCUUGUUCAUGAGACUGAUCUUAAGAAGACAGAUUCACUUGAGAGGAGAUGACCCUGUGGUACUCUGUUGCUGAUAUCCCAAAGAAAAAUCUGUUUGUUGUCACAUAAUAGUAACGUGGCAUAAACUAUCCGUUUAAUAAUUACUCAGCUUUAAGAUUAAGACUAAGACUUAUAUUUAAGACUUUAACACUAAAUUUAAGACUAAGACUUAAGUUUAAGACUUUAAGUUUAUUACUAAGCUUAUGAAAACUUAAAAAGACCUUAAUAAAGCCAGGAAUAGUGGCGCACACCUAUAAUCUCAGCUACU
Molecule: long non-coding RNA, 613 nt
Filed under: Homo sapiens (human)
Lineage: Eukaryota; Metazoa; Chordata; Mammalia; Primates; Hominidae
Description: HSALNT0309837
Source: RNAcentral